Molecule: long non-coding RNA, 841 nt
Organism: Varroa destructor (honeybee mite)
Lineage: Eukaryota; Metazoa; Arthropoda; Arachnida; Mesostigmata; Varroidae
Source: RefSeq, a predicted model, not a curated record
GGGCCAAUUCAGCCAAAAUACACUUGUAUUACUCUCACAGAUUAGUUCUGCGAAGCUUUCAUUCGAACUUUCCUACCGAGAAAGUUAUAUAACAUGUCGAUCUUGUGGCAGUGUUGGUUUCACAGACAGCGAUCCUGGUGUCUACAGAGACGUUCCUCUAUAUCACUAUAUAUAAGCAUCCGAGAAGGACGCCGAGGUCAACCCUACAUCAGGAUAAAUUCUAUAUUGAAACGACAACAGCAAACUCGCCCUUGUUUGUUGGCAUAAAAAUGACACAAUCACAGCUAAGCAAGGCGUAAUAAACAGCUUUUCAAUCAUCUACUUCGACACAGUCCGCUAUAUAAGGAAAGCAUCUAACAUCAGCUGUCUUCGUAUCAUGGGCUACGAGGCAUCCUGCGCCGUCCGAUUCAGGGCUGACAGCUAUACGGCUGCCGCGAAUGGACACAGAACACAAUACGCGUAAUUGAGACCGGCGUAGCAGUUGGCUACGCUAUUACUCAUCACUCAUCAGUAUGGUACGGAUCAUUCUGUACAGCUCAUGAUCUGUAACGAUGAAUCGGUCAACGCCGUAUAACAUCGUCAUGUCUGGAUGUCGAAUAACGCCGCAUCGAUCCUUGAGAAUUACUCCUAGUUCAUCAGAGUCGCAUGAAAGUUGAUUGUUAUUUGUUUGUAUGUAUCGAUCUACGUAUGUUUGCAGUUGUAGGUAACUUCAGGACACGUGAUGGUCUAAGUUUGCGCACUUCAUUUCGCGCUGAAAAUGGCCAGGCGGAAGCGAUGCCUAACAAUUCAAAUAUCGGACGUCAAACACGAAGCAAAGCAAAAAACACUUGCAAAUAAAUUU